CUGCCGUUUGUACGUUCGAAUUUCACGUUUAUACGCGAGAAAUGCCAGGUUCGGACCACGGACACGUAAAAUGUAAUAAAACUGCACCGGCGACAAUAUGCUAUUUCGUAUCGAUUAUAAAAAAAAAACCAAUGACGUAACACCGAAACACCGGUUGUAUUGAAUAUACACCCGCGUCCGUUGUCUUCGUAUCUGUGUACCAAGGGUCUCGUAUGCGAGAAUACGUGGCGGAUAAAACACAACUACGAAAAAGGCCCGUUAAAUAAACGUUCGGUUAAACCGUUACAAGGAAAAUGCUGGUCCUGACGACGGGGCUUGUAU
Molecule: non-coding RNA, 321 nt
Organism: Cinara cedri
Lineage: Eukaryota; Metazoa; Arthropoda; Insecta; Hemiptera; Aphididae
Source: the annotation of a GenBank genome assembly